CGAAGGGUGCAAGCGUUGCUCGGAAUUAUUGGGCGUAAAGGGUAGGUAGGUGGUUACGUAUGUCUGGGGUGAAAUCCCUGAGCUCAACUCAGGAAGUGCCUUGGAAACGGCGUAACUAGAGUGCUAGAGAGGUUCGUGGAAUUCCCCAGUGUAGCGGUGAAAUGCGUAGAGAUUGGGAGGAACACCAGAGGCGAAGGCGGCGAACUGGAUAGCAACUGACACUGAACUACGAAAGCGUGGGUAGCAAACAGGAUUAGAUACCCUGGUAGUCCACGCUGUAAACGAUGGGUACUAGGCUUCGUGGGAGUUGACCCCUGCGGAGCCGGAGCUAACGCAAUAAGUACCCCGCCUGGGAAGUACGGUCGCAAGACUAA
RNAcentral lists this ribosomal RNA (374 nucleotides) under uncultured organism. RNAcentral's name for it is "bacterial SSU rRNA". It matches the Rfam family "Bacterial small subunit ribosomal RNA", at positions 526 to 897 of the family's 1533-position model. The record is from RNAcentral.